Long non-coding RNA from Gopherus evgoodei (Goodes thornscrub tortoise), 206 nucleotides. RefSeq lists it as uncharacterized. The transcript has 3 exons. The record is from RefSeq and is a predicted model, not a curated record. Lineage: Eukaryota; Metazoa; Chordata; Testudines; Testudinidae.
UCGGUGAGGCAGCGCUGGGGAAAGAGAGUUUGUUUCUGCGGGGCGGGCGGUGCUGGGGAGGGAGUAUUUCAGGGGGGCUGGGUGGUGUUGGGGGGGCGUGUUUGGCUGGGUUUGGGGGGUGGUUUCGGCCCUCAGCUGUUUUCUUUGGAGAAAUAUGGCCCUCACUGCUUUACGGGUUGUGCAGGCCUGACCUAGAGCUUUUUUUG